UUUGUUUGGUGGCGAUAGCGAAGAGGUCACACCCGUUCCCAUACCGAACACGGAAGUUAAGCUCUUCAGCGCCGAUGGUAGUCGGGGGUUUCCCCCUGUGAGAGUAGGACGCCGCCAAGCAA
This 122-nucleotide ribosomal RNA is filed under the name Bacillus subtilis. The record is from RNAcentral. Lineage: Bacteria; Bacillati; Bacillota; Bacilli; Caryophanales; Bacillaceae.